This 527-nucleotide long non-coding RNA is filed under the name Ananas comosus (pineapple). RNAcentral's name for it is "long non-coding RNA (ACOM_LNC006094)". The record is from RNAcentral. Lineage: Eukaryota; Viridiplantae; Streptophyta; Magnoliopsida; Poales; Bromeliaceae.
UUUUUUUAAAAAUAAUUAGUUGAGAUAUAAAUGACGUGGUGUAACUAUUAGACGGAGAACUUCCUUUUAUGGUGGGAGGAAUUCUAAUAUGUUGCAGUUAUACUACUGUAUUUACAAUCAGCCAAUUAUAUAUCUGUUUUGAAAGAAAAGUAUAAAAUACUAUGUUUGGGAUGGAUAGAUUAAGAGAGAGUAAUUUGAUAAACGAGAAAUUCGAUAAUCAGUCAGUCAUACGUAACUAAUAUGACCGCUGCAUUUUUAUUUUUUUUUCCAGCGUGGACUUGCAUGUGUUAGCUUCCGUAACCCAACGUGACCUGAAGAAGGAAUUCUACACUGUCACACUUGCACCACGUCAUCAAUAACAAGCCAAUCACAUUUCUUCUUUUCAAACAAAGAUACAAAAUUUUUUUUAUUUUGUAAUCAUGAUGGGACAUAUAUUUCUGAAAAAAGAUAUUUGAUUGAUUUGUUAUGCCACGUCACUAAUAUACGGCAUUUUAGAAUUUUUCCACUUGGAGACCCUGUACAUGCAU